This 477-nucleotide ribosomal RNA is filed under the name uncultured bacterium. RNAcentral's name for it is "partial 16S ribosomal RNA". It matches the Rfam family "Bacterial small subunit ribosomal RNA", at positions 28 to 507 of the family's 1533-position model. The record is from RNAcentral.
GAUGAACGCUGGCGGCGUGCCUAAUACAUGCAAGUCGAGCGAACAGACGAGGAGCUUGCUCCUCUGACGUUAGCGGCGGACGGGUGAGUAACACGUGGAUAACCUACCUAUAAGACUGGGAUAACUUCGGGAAACCGGAGCUAAUACCGGAUAACAUGUUGAACCGUAUGGUUCAACAGUGAAAGACGGUCUUGCUGUCAGUUGUAGAUGGAUCCGCGCCGCAUUAGCUAGUUGGUGGGGUAACGGCUUACCAAGGCAACGAUGGGUAGCCGACCUGAGAGGGUGAACGGCGACAUUGGGACUGAGAUACGGCCCAGACUACUACGGGAGGCAGCAGUGGGGAAUAUUGCAAAAUGGGCGGAAGCCUGAUGCAGCAACGCCGCGUGCGGGAGGACGGCCUUCGGGUUGUAAACCGCUUUCGCCUGUGACGAAGCGUGAGUGACGGUAAUGGGUAAAGAAGCACCGGCUAACUACGUG